RNAcentral lists this ribosomal RNA (637 nucleotides) under uncultured bacterium. RNAcentral describes it as "bacterial SSU rRNA". It matches the Rfam family "Bacterial small subunit ribosomal RNA", at positions 724 to 1357 of the family's 1533-position model. The record is from RNAcentral.
GCCACCUGGCCCAAUACUGACGCUGAGGCACGAAAGCGUGGGGAGCANACAGGAUUAGAUACCCUGGUAGUCCACGCCCUAAACGAUGAAUACCAGAUGUUUGGUGCCAAGCGUACUGAGUGUCGUAGCUAACGCGAUAAGUAUUCCGCCUGGGAAGUACGGCCGCAAGGUUAAAACUCAAAGGAAUUGACCGGGGGCCCGCACAAGCGGUGGAGCAUGUGGUUUAAUUCGAUGCAACGCGAAGAACCUUACCUGGGCUUGACAUGUCUGGAAUCCUGCAGAGAUGCGGGAGUGCCCUUCGGGGAAUCAGAACACAGGUGCUGCAUGGCUGUCGUCAGCUCGUGUCGUGAGAUGUUGGGUUAAGUCCCGCAACGAGCGCAACCCUUGUCCUUAGUUGCCAGCGGUUCGGCCGGGCACUCUAGGGAGACUGCCGGUGACAAACCGGAGGAAGGUGGGGAUGACGUCAAGUCCUCAUGGCCUUUAUGUCCAGGGCUACACACGUGCUACAAUGGCGCGUACAGAGGGAAGCCAAGCCGCGAGGUGGAGCAGACCCCAGAAAGCGCGUCGUAGUUCGGAUUGCAGUCUGCAACUCGACUGCUGAAGUCGGCACUCGCUAGUAAUGGCUGGAUCAGCAUGC